RNAcentral lists this ribosomal RNA (229 nucleotides) under uncultured bacterium. RNAcentral describes it as "partial 16S ribosomal RNA". It matches the Rfam family "Bacterial small subunit ribosomal RNA", at positions 568 to 796 of the family's 1533-position model. The record is from RNAcentral.
UGCGCAGGCGGGCUUGUAAGUCAGUGGUGAAAUACUGCCGCUUAACGGUAGAACUGCCAUUGAUACUGCGAGUCUUGAAUAUGGUUGAGGUAGGCGGAAUGUGUUGUGUAGCGGUGAAAUGCAUAGAUAUGACACAGAACGCCGAUUGCGAAGGCAGCUUACUAAGCCAUUAUUGACGCUGAGGCACGAAGGCGUGGGGAGCGAACAGGAUUAGAUACCCUGGUAGUCC